AUCAUACUCCCUCUGUCCGGAAUUACUCGUCGGAGAAAUAAAUAAAAAUGGAUGUAUGUAAAACUAAAAUACGUCUACAUACAUCCAUUCCUUCGACAAGUAUUUCUGGACGGAGGGAGUACUUU
This is a non-coding RNA of Triticum urartu, 125 nucleotides long. Lineage: Eukaryota; Viridiplantae; Streptophyta; Magnoliopsida; Poales; Poaceae. The record is from Rfam.